RNAcentral lists this transfer RNA (70 nucleotides) under Culex quinquefasciatus (southern house mosquito). It matches the Rfam family "tRNA". Rfam says of the family: Transfer RNA (tRNA) molecules are approximately 80 nucleotides in length. Their secondary structure includes four short double-helical elements and three loops (D, anti-codon, and T loops). The record is from Rfam by way of RNAcentral. Lineage: Eukaryota; Metazoa; Arthropoda; Insecta; Diptera; Culicidae.
GCGGCUGUGGCUGAAUGGUUACGGCGUUCGCUUUGUAAGCGAAUGGUUCUAUGUUUGAUUCCCAUCUGCU